GUGGAAAACCAUAGCAUCAUCAGGAACAACACUGGACAAGGUGCUGCCAUCACUGCUCUCUGUGCUGGAGGGCUGGCCACAGCAGAGAAUGUACACCUCAGAUGGAGACAAUACGGAUGUAUUUUCCCUGGCUGCAACCAGGGUGGUUUGGGAGAUUCUCCGCCUGCCCUGGUGCCCAGAGCCGUUUAUGGAAUAUUCCCCCCAUCUCGUCGUGGCUCUGCUCUUCCAAGUUUUUAUCAGUACAGAGCAGGUGCCAGAGGAGGUUGAUAAUUUCUGGAGGACAUGUCAGGAGGAACACGGCCUUUCCACGAGCAUCAACAGGUUUGCAAUGCAGACUUUAAGGGCGCUGUUCCACCAUCUGCAGUGUGUGCAUUUAGUGGUUGCAAUGG
This is a long non-coding RNA of Poecile atricapillus (Black-capped chickadee), 389 nucleotides long. RefSeq lists it as uncharacterized. The transcript has 3 exons. The record is from RefSeq and is a predicted model, not a curated record. Lineage: Eukaryota; Metazoa; Chordata; Aves; Passeriformes; Paridae.